AUAAAUAAAAAGUUCUUGACUUUUGAAAUGUAAUUAGUUAUUAUAAUAAAGUGCUCUUGAGUGAGUUACAUG
RNAcentral lists this transfer RNA (72 nucleotides) under Lactobacillus crispatus EM-LC1. RNAcentral describes it as "tRNA-Glu". The record is from RNAcentral. Lineage: Bacteria; Bacillati; Bacillota; Bacilli; Lactobacillales; Lactobacillaceae.